UACAGAGGUCUCAAGCGUUGUUCGGAUUCAUUGGGCGUAAAGGGUGCGUAGGCGGCGUGGUAAGUCGGGUGUGAAAUCUCGGAGCUUAACUCCGAAACUGCAUUCGAUACUGCCGUGCUUGAGGACUGGAGAGGAGACUGGAAUUUACGGUGUAGCGGUGAAAUGCGUAGAUAUCGUAAGGAAGACCAGUGGCGAAGGCGGGCCUCUGGACAGUUCCUGACGCUGAGGCGCGAAGGCCAGGGGAGCAAACGGG
This 253-nucleotide ribosomal RNA is filed under the name uncultured bacterium. RNAcentral's name for it is "partial 16S ribosomal RNA". It matches the Rfam family "Bacterial small subunit ribosomal RNA", at positions 524 to 776 of the family's 1533-position model. The record is from RNAcentral.